Molecule: ribosomal RNA, 497 nt
Filed under: uncultured bacterium
Lineage: Bacteria
Description: partial 16S ribosomal RNA
Rfam family: Bacterial small subunit ribosomal RNA
Source: RNAcentral
GAUGAACGCUGGCGGCGUGCCUAAUACAUGCAAGUCGAGCGAACAGACGAGGAGCUUGCUCCUCUGACGUUAGCGGCGGACGGGUGAGUAACACGUGGAUAACCUACCUAUAAGACUGGGAUAACUUCGGGAAACCGGAGCUAAUACCGGAUAAUAUAUUGAACCGCAUGGUUCAAUAGUGAAAGACGGUUUUGCUGUCACUUAUAGAUGGUUCCGCGCCGCAUUAGCUAGUUGGUAAGGUAACGGCUUACCAAGGCUACGAUGCGUAGCCGACCUGAGAGGAUGAUCAGCCACACUGGAACUGAGACACGGUCCAGACUCCUACGGGAGGCAGCAGUAGGGAAUCUUCCGCAAUGGGCGAAAGCCUGACGGAGCAACGCCGCGUGAGUGAUGAAGGUCUUCGGAUCGUAAAACUCUGUUAUUAGGGAAGAACAAAUGUGUAAGUAACUAUGCACGUCUUGACGGUACCUAAUCAGAAAGCCACGGCUAACUACGUG